Molecule: ribosomal RNA, 406 nt
Filed under: uncultured bacterium
Lineage: Bacteria
Description: partial 16S ribosomal RNA
Rfam family: Bacterial small subunit ribosomal RNA
Source: RNAcentral
AUUGAACGCUGGCGGCAGGCCUAACACAUGCAAGUCGAACGAGUGGCGGACGGGUGCGUAAUGUCUGGGAAACUGCCUGCUGGAGGGGGAUAACUACUGGAAACGGUAGCUAAUACCGCAUACCAUCGGAGGUGCCCAGAGGGGAUUAGCUAGUAGGUGGGGUAAAGGCUCUCCUAGGCGACGAUCCCUAGCUGGUGUGAGAGGUUGACCAGCCACACUGGAACUGAGACACGGUCCAGCAUCCGACGGGAGGCAGAAGUGGGGAAUAUUGCACAAUGGGCGCAAGCCUGAUGCAGCAAUGCCGCUUGGAUGAAGAAGGCCUUCGGUUUGUAAAGUACUUGCAGCUGGGAGGCGUUACCCGCAGAAGAAGCACCGGCUAACUCCGUGCCAGCAGCCGCGGUAAUAC